GUGAGAUGCCUCACUGUAUCCUGAGCUCUUGCCUGAUCCAGACUGAUCAUGCACAUGAUUCAUCUUCUCUGUCUGGCAGCUCUAAGCAUCUGCACACUAAUAACUUGUCAUCCUAUACAAAAGGAAACAAUCCAAACAGAUUUAAUAUGUGAAAAUCUGAGAGAUAUGGAGGCCAAGAUCAGCAGCAAUUUCCUGAUGAUUCAAUUUAGUAAUAGGAUGAGGAAAGCCAUUCAUCAACACUCAAAAGGAGACAUUUUACUGAAGAAAAGAAGCAAGGACUGCUUUUCAGUAUUUGAUAUUAAAAAUAAUAAUAUAAUGUGUUUGGAUACAACCAAAAAGCCACAUAUUUCAGUUGAUGUCAUUAAUAAGGACUCCUUUAAAACAAUUCAAAGAAAGAAUUCCUAUC
This is a long non-coding RNA of Rhinichthys klamathensis goyatoka, 406 nucleotides long. RefSeq lists it as uncharacterized. The transcript has 3 exons. The record is from RefSeq and is a predicted model, not a curated record. Lineage: Eukaryota; Metazoa; Chordata; Actinopteri; Cypriniformes; Leuciscidae.